UACGUAGGGGGCAAGCGUUGUCCGGAAUUAUUGGGCGUAAAGAGCGCGUAGGCGGUCCGAUAAGUCGGCUGUGAAAGUCAGGGGCUCAACCCUUGAAAGCCGGCCGAUACUGUCGGACUAGAGUCCGGAAGAGGCAAGUGGAAUUCCCGGUGUAGCGGUGAAAUGCGCAGAUAUCAGGAGGAACACCGGUGGCGAAGGCGGGUCUCUGGGCCGAUACUGACGCUGAGGAGCGAAAGCGUGGGGAGCGAACAGG
Molecule: ribosomal RNA, 253 nt
Filed under: uncultured bacterium
Lineage: Bacteria
Description: partial 16S ribosomal RNA
Rfam family: Bacterial small subunit ribosomal RNA
Source: RNAcentral